AUUGAACGCUGGCGGCAUGCCUUACACAUGCAAGUCGAACGGUAACAGGUCUUCGGAUGCUGACGAGUGGCGAACGGGUGAGUAAUACAUCGGAACGUGCCUAGUAGUGGGGGAUAACUACUCGAAAGAGUGGCUAAUACCGCAUGAGAUCUACGGAUGAAAGCAGGGGAUCGCAAGACCUUGUGCUACUAGAGCGGCCGAUGGCAGAUUAGGUAGUUGGUGGGAUAAAAGCUUACCAAGCCGACGAUCUGUAGCUGGUCUGAGAGGACGAUCGGCCGCUCUGGUACUGAGACACGGACCAGACUCCUACGGGAGGCAGCAGUGGGGAAUUUUGGACAAUGGGCGAAAGCCUGAUCCAGCAAUGCCGCAUGCAGGAUGAAGGCCUUCGGGUUGUAAACUGCUUUUGUACGGAACGAAAAGCCCCGGGUUAAUACCCUGGGGUCAUGACGGUACCGUAAGAAUAAGCACCGGCUAACUACGUGCCAGCCGCCGCGGUAA
Molecule: ribosomal RNA, 498 nt
Filed under: uncultured bacterium
Lineage: Bacteria
Description: partial 16S ribosomal RNA
Rfam family: Bacterial small subunit ribosomal RNA
Source: RNAcentral